This 440-nucleotide ribosomal RNA is filed under the name uncultured bacterium. Its description in RNAcentral is "partial 16S ribosomal RNA". It matches the Rfam family "Bacterial small subunit ribosomal RNA", at positions 338 to 795 of the family's 1533-position model. The record is from RNAcentral.
CCUACGGGAGGCAGCAGUAGGGAAUAUUGCUCAAUGGGGGAAACCCUGAUGCAGCAACGCCGCGUGGAGGAUGAAGGUUUUCGGAUUGUAAACUCCUUUUGUUAGAGAAGAAAAUGAUGGGAUUUAACGAAUAAGCACCGGCGAAUACCGUGCCAGCAGCCGCGGUAAUACGGCGGGUGCAAGCGUUAGUCGGAAUCACUGGGGGUAAAGAGAGCGUAGGCGGGAUAGCAAGUCAGAUGUGAAAUCCUAUGGCUUAACCAUAGAACUGCAUUUGGUACUGUUAUUCUGGAGUGUGGGAGAGGUAGGUGGAAUUCUUGGUGUAGGGGUGAAAUGCGUAGAGAUCAAGAGGAAUACUCGUUGCGAAGGCGGCCUGCUGGAACAUAACUGACGCUGAGGCGCGAAAGCGUGGGGAGCAAACAGGAUUAGAUACCCUGGUAGUC